AAAAAGAAAAAAAAACUUGAGGCAGCAUAUCAUUUAAUCAAAAGCUCUUUCUUUUAUAUACAUAUAUAGAUGUAUGUAUGUAUGUAUCUUUUUGGGGGUUGGGGAAGCAGCCACAAGGAAAUUGCAUCGGAAAGCCAUACAAAAGAAGCACAUAAAGAGUUUUUCCUCAAAACUUGUGGCCACACACUCACAAAUUGAUUUGGUAUGUGAAGACGGAUAAUUGGUUUUCGAGCGGACUGCAGGGCUCUAGGAAAGUUUUCACGGCUUUUGCUGAGCGCAUCAACCACAUCGACGUAAGUUUCAUUAACAAGUCAAUUAGAGCGCCCCGUCGAUAGCCAAUUGGCAUUUUUAAUUAAGUACGACAAACCAAAAAAGAAAAAAAAAGAAACUUUACAAUCUGUUUAAGCUCUAAUCAAAUUUCUGGCUUAUAAAAUUAAGAACUUUAACAAUUCAGCAAUUUCUCGAAUUUCUCAAUUCUCUAAUCAGUCAGUUAUUUAAAUUGAGCACAAGUGUGUGAAAUAGAAGUAUAAUAUUACUCAUCCAAAUUACCAAAGCCUUUCUCUCUACAUGUCAAUUUAUAUGAGCAUGCUAAAAGCUUGAUGCAACAUAAUUGCCAACACACCAUUCAUUGCUGUUUCUGUUUCUGUUUCUGCUUGGGAAUACUCUAUCGACUAUGUAGUAUUUGGCUCAUUGGGGAGCACGUAAAACGUAUGACUAAUCAAUGGCUCUGACAGAAAGACUCUCUGGGAGACGCUCUACGCUUGGGCGAGUUUCACAAGCUUCAAGAGACGCAGCGGAGUAUAUUCAGUAUAGUAUACAACGAUGAGUAUGAGAGCUUUUCGUAUGACUCUUAACGAGUAUACCGAUUGUAUUUGCAUUUAUAUUGAAUACUAUAGUGGCACAUGUAUGCGAGUUUAUAUAUAUACAUAUAUAUCGUAGUUAUGUGUGCGAUCGCGCCAAAUGCCAAACAAUGUGAGUCACGAUAAUCAACGUUGAGCACACCGCAAACACGUCCACAUAUAUAUAGAGGGCUCAAAACACGAGGGUGGUGCUGUAAAUACAUAUUAGGAAACUCCCCCGAAAGGCAAGUUCUCAUAAAAAAUAGACUCUCAAAAGGGAUUAGCUUAAAUGUGUUUUAU
This is a long non-coding RNA of Drosophila albomicans, 1139 nucleotides long. RefSeq lists it as uncharacterized. Lineage: Eukaryota; Metazoa; Arthropoda; Insecta; Diptera; Drosophilidae. The transcript is spliced from 3 exons. The record is from RefSeq and is a predicted model, not a curated record.